UACGGAGAGUGCAAGCGUUGCUCGGAAUCACUGGGCGUAAAGCGCGCGUAGGUGGUAUUCUAAGUCGGGUGUGAAAUCGUGCGGCUCAACCGUAUCAAGUGCACUCGAUACUAGAAAACUAGAGUAUGGCAGAGGAAUGUGGAAUUCCCGGUGUAGAGGUGAAAUUCGUAGAUACCGGGAGGAACACCAGUGGCGAAGGCGACAUUCUGGGCCAAUACUGACGCUGAGGUGCGAAAGCGUGGGGAGCAAA
This 250-nucleotide ribosomal RNA is filed under the name uncultured bacterium. RNAcentral's name for it is "partial 16S ribosomal RNA". It matches the Rfam family "Bacterial small subunit ribosomal RNA", at positions 524 to 772 of the family's 1533-position model. The record is from RNAcentral.